CCUACGGGUGGCAGCAGUGAGGAAUAUUGGUCAAUGGGCGCGAGCCUGAACCAGCCAAGUCGCGUGAGGGAUGACGGCCCUACGGGUUGUAAACCUCUUUUGUCGGGGAGCAAAUUCCGCCACGUGUGGCGGCGUCGAGAGUACCCGAAGAAAAAGCAUCGGCAAACUCCGUGCCAGCAGCCGCGGUAAUACGGAGGAUGCGAGCGUUAUCCGGAUUUAUUGGGUUAAAAGGGUGCGUCGGCGGACUGUCAAGUCAGCGGUAAAAUACGGGGGCUCAACCUCCGCGCGCCGUUGAAACUGACGGUCUUGAGUGGGCGAGAGGUAUGCGGAAUGCGUGGUGUAGCGGUGAAAUGCAUAGAUAUCACGCAGAACCCCGAUUGCGAAGGCAGCGUACCGGCGCCCAACUGACGCUCAUGCACGAAAGCGUGGGUAUCGAACAGGAUUAGAUACCCGGGUAGUC
This 460-nucleotide ribosomal RNA is filed under the name uncultured bacterium. RNAcentral describes it as "partial 16S ribosomal RNA". It matches the Rfam family "Bacterial small subunit ribosomal RNA", at positions 338 to 795 of the family's 1533-position model. The record is from RNAcentral.